Pygoscelis adeliae (Adelie penguin) is the source of this 1192-nucleotide long non-coding RNA. RefSeq lists it as uncharacterized. The transcript is spliced from 3 exons. The record is from RefSeq and is a predicted model, not a curated record. Lineage: Eukaryota; Metazoa; Chordata; Aves; Sphenisciformes; Spheniscidae.
GAGGCUUGCUUGGUACUUUACCAGGGUCUGUAUGUUCUAGUUAAGUGAUACCAGCUGAAGGUCAUAAGGCUCCACAGAAACACUGCCAACUCCUGGUGAUUUUAUGCUUCUCAGGGAGCGGUUCUCCCUUGGGUUGUUAAAGAGGAACUAUAAUUAUUGCUUACUGCAGAAGACGCCACGGUACAGGACAAUGCUAUUCUGUCAACUUCGGAGCGCUGUGAUGUGAGGGUUUGAGGCCUCUGAUCCAAGCACAACGGGUGGUCACGGGACUCCUGCGAACUGUGCCUGUAUGAAGUGAGAAGGAAACCAGUAGGGCUUAUGCCAGUGGUUCUCCUCACCCCACCCAAAACUCUGAAGCUUAUGCCAGAUUGGUACGAAAAGUGAAGGGGCCGAGUCCAUUGAAGAAAACAAGGCAUCGGCUACGUUUGCCGGCACUGCUGGACUGUAGAAAUCUUCGCUUAGAAAACGGGAGACAACUGACUCGAGGUCCCGCUUCAGAAGACAGCACUUCACCAGUGCUCAGGCUGAUUCAGCAAGCAGGUGUUGGCCUGAAGUUCUGUCAGCUUCUCCCGACUCGGAUCCUGACUGUUUGAUAUGGAUGCUUGGUUAAGACCUUCUCCCGUCAACGUAAAACAAGCCUUGUUGAACACCUAUGAAUCCAGCAUAUGGUUAAAAACCUAGCACAUCCAACGCAAAUAUAUAACUAGUCUAGUCCUUUUUUUAGUCCGUGGAAAAGGCCUAUGCUGACAGUCUCUUUAUAAUUGCGCUGUAGGAUUCCUUCAGCAUUUUUGUGGGCUUUUGCUGACUGGAUGGUCUAACGGAGAGAAACUUUGGCCACGAUUUCCUUGCUGUGACUGCAUCGCGGGAGAGAAAAACAAGUGGUGUGCCAGCCAGUGGGGGGGCGGGAAGUUGCUGUGUAAGUUAUUCCAGUGCUGGAUUUUCCCCGCCAUUGUUUAAAGUAAUUUCUCAUCAUCUAUGCGAAGAAUGUAAAGUGGAAAAUUCAGGCCAAGUUGGAAAUGCCACUUACCUGUGACAAUACAGGUAAGUCUACCCUCUGUGUGAGGAACUGUUCCCAGAUUUCGGGAAGGGAAAACAGGUAAAUGUUCAGCUAUGGCUGACGUUAAGCGCCUUGUUCCCAGUUCCUCAUUGCAAACUUUUCUAAGCGAAUUAAUAAACGAAGGGAUUUUUUUAU